Molecule: ribosomal RNA, 111 nt
Filed under: Peromyscus maniculatus bairdii (prairie deer mouse)
Lineage: Eukaryota; Metazoa; Chordata; Mammalia; Rodentia; Cricetidae
Source: RNAcentral
GUCUACAGCAUGCUAUCCUGAACGCACCAGGUCGCAUCUGACCUCAGAAGCCGAGCAUUGGGCCUGAUUAGUACUCUCACCGGAGAGACGAGCUUGAGGCUUUUGCAGACC